UCAGGACGAACGCUGGCGGCGCGCCUAACACAUGCAAGUCGAACGGAGUUGUGUUGAAAGCUUGCUGGAUAUGCAACUUAGUGGCGGACGGGUGAGUAACGCGUGGGUAACCUGCCUCAUACAGGGGGAUAACAGUUAGAAAUGACUGCUAAUACCGCAUAAGACCACAGCACCGCAUGGUGCAGGGGUAAAAACUCCGGUGGUAUGAGAUGGACCCGCGUCUGAUUAGCUAGUUGGUAAGGUAACGGCUUACCAAGGCGACGAUCAGUAGCCGACCUGAGAGGGUGACCGGCCACAUUGGGACUGAGACACGGCCCAAACUCCUACGGGAGGCAGCAGUGGGGAAUAUUGCACAAUGGGGGAAACCCUGAUGCAGCGACGCCGCGUGAGUGAAGAAGUAUUUCGGUAUGUAAAGCUCUAUCAGCAGGGAAGAAAAUGACGGUACCUGACUAAGAAGCCCCGGCUAACUACGUGCCAGCAGCCGCGGUAA
RNAcentral lists this ribosomal RNA (490 nucleotides) under uncultured bacterium. Its description in RNAcentral is "bacterial SSU rRNA". It matches the Rfam family "Bacterial small subunit ribosomal RNA", at positions 24 to 523 of the family's 1533-position model. The record is from RNAcentral.